CUUCGUCUGCUCUCUUUUUCCUUUCUGCUUCAUCUUUCAAUGACUUCUUUUUAGCCUUAUUAAUAGCACACUAUUCUUAUUCCUCCAGUGAUAUUGCUUCUCUCUUCCUCCUCCUUUCUUUUUUCUUUGCAGUUUUUUUAUCCAUUUGCUAUUUCCCUUUGUCCUUCAUGGGUUUUACCAUCAGAUCCAUAAUACCUUCAUCAUCCUUGCUUACCACUAAAAUUGGGUCAACACAGGCUGUUGUAACUGCUUCCCCUUUAACUCUGCUAUAUCAGCCUUUGCUUGCUCGAAUUCUGCCAUGAGCUUGGCAAGACUAAGGAGAGACAAUGAAUCUAGCCUUUUGUUGAUGCGGGCUUUCAUGUUAUCCAUCCUAACUUGGAUAGUUUGAAACGGCCUGACUGCUUAAUCCAUAAUUUCGUCAACAAAUGGCUUGAAGUCUUCUGCCCACUUUUCUAGCUGCCUCUGAAAUCUCUUUUGAGUCUCACCACUUUAGCAGAGUUUGCUGGAUUGAACCUGUACUCAGUAAAAUCUGCUCCGCCCAUAGACUGUGCAAAACCUGACCCUACAGAUAUACCUUGGGGCACAUAAUCAGGUGUUACAUAUGUGGGGAUGGGUAAAGGCAUACCUUCGGGCAUUUCUG
RNAcentral lists this long non-coding RNA (640 nucleotides) under Capsicum annuum. Its description in RNAcentral is "long non-coding RNA (CANN_LNC010807)". Lineage: Eukaryota; Viridiplantae; Streptophyta; Magnoliopsida; Solanales; Solanaceae. The record is from RNAcentral.